CGCAACCGGUUGACGGUCGCUAUGGUUCGCCAUAGAGGAAAGUCCAGACACCGCAGAGUAGGAUGCCCUUUUGCAAAGAAGGAUACUGUGUCCCAUAAAGUCACAGGAAGGAAAGUGCCACAGAAAUGAUACCGCCUCACUUGUGAGGUAAGGGUGAAAUGGUGAAGUAAGAGCUCACCGUGCUUUUAGCGAGAGCGGAGCAGCAUGGCAAACCCCAUCCGGUGCAAGAUCAAAUAGGGAACAAAGAUGCGACUCGUAUCGUUUUUCUUCGUGAAAUAUAGUUCCGGGUUCUGAUCGCAUAGUCAAAUGACCGUCCAUUUGCGAUUUUCGCAAAAGACAGGAUCUGGCUUACAGCCGGUUGCGCUUU
Molecule: RNase P RNA, 367 nt
Filed under: Lentisphaera araneosa HTCC2155
Lineage: Bacteria; Pseudomonadati; Lentisphaerota; Lentisphaeria; Lentisphaerales; Lentisphaeraceae
Description: Bacterial RNase P class A
Rfam family: Bacterial RNase P class A
About the family: Ribonuclease P (RNase P) is a ubiquitous endoribonuclease, found in archaea, bacteria and eukarya as well as chloroplasts and mitochondria.
Source: Rfam by way of RNAcentral